GAGUUUGAUCAUGGCUCAGGAUGAACGCCGGCGGUGUGCCUAAUACAUGCAAGUCGUACGCACUGGCCCAACUGAUUGAUGGUGCUUGCACCUGAUCGACGAUGGAUCACCAGUGAGUGGCGGACGGGUGAGUAACACGUAGGUAACCUGCCCUGUACAGGGGAUAACAAUCAGAAAUGACUGCUAAUACCGCAUAAGACCACAGCACCGCAUGGUGCAGGGGUAAAAACUCCGGUGGUACAGGAUGGACCCGCGUCUGAUUAGCUGGUUGGUGAGGUAACGGCUCACCAAGGCGACGAUCAGUAGCCGGCUUGAGAGAGUGAACGGCCACAUUGGGACUGAGACACGGCCCAAACUCCUACGGGAGCAGCAGUGGGGAAUAUUGCACAAUGGGGAAACCCUGAUGCAGCAACGCCGCGUGAGUGAAGAGUAUUCGGUAUGUAAAGCUCUAUCAGCA
This 457-nucleotide ribosomal RNA is filed under the name uncultured microorganism. Its description in RNAcentral is "bacterial SSU rRNA". It matches the Rfam family "Bacterial small subunit ribosomal RNA", at positions 9 to 441 of the family's 1533-position model. The record is from RNAcentral.